This 253-nucleotide ribosomal RNA is filed under the name uncultured bacterium. RNAcentral describes it as "partial 16S ribosomal RNA". It matches the Rfam family "Bacterial small subunit ribosomal RNA", at positions 524 to 776 of the family's 1533-position model. The record is from RNAcentral.
UACGUAGGUGACAAGCGUUGUCCGGAUUUACUGGGCGUAAAGAGCGCGCAGGCGGUCGAUCAAGUCGAGUGUGAAAGCCCCCGGCUCAACUGGGGAGGGUCACGCGAUACUGCUCGACUUGAAGGCAGGAGAGGGAAGUGGAAUUCCCGGUGUAGUGGUGAAAUGCGUAGAUAUCGGGAGGAACACCAGUGGCGAAGGCGACUUCCUGGCCUGUUCUUGACGCUGAGGCGCGAAAGCUAGGGGAGCAAACGGG